GACGAACGCUGGCGGCGUGCUUAACACAUGCAAGUCGAACGGAAAGGCCCUGCUUUUGUGGGGUGCUCGAGUGGCGAACGGGUGAGUAACACGUGAGUAACCUGCCCUUGACUUUGGGAUAACUUCAGGAAACUGGGGCUAAUACCGGAUAGGAGCUCCUGCUGCAUGGUGGGGGUUGGAAAGUUUCGGCGGUUGGGGAUGGACUCGCGGCUUAUCGGCUUGUUGGUGGGGUAGUGGCUUACCAAGGCUUUGACGGGUAGCCGGCCUGAGAGGGUGACCGGCCACAUUGGGACUGAGAUCAGGCCCAGACUCCUACGGGAGGCAGCAGUGGGGAAUAUUGCACAAUGGGCGGAAGCCUGAUGCAGCAACGCAGCGUGAGGGAUGACGGCCUUCGGGUUGUAAACCGCUUUCGCCUGUGACGAAGCGUGAGUGACGGUAAUGGGUAAAGAAGCACCGGCUAACUACGUG
Molecule: ribosomal RNA, 468 nt
Filed under: uncultured bacterium
Lineage: Bacteria
Description: partial 16S ribosomal RNA
Rfam family: Bacterial small subunit ribosomal RNA
Source: RNAcentral